RNAcentral lists this unclassified non-coding RNA (341 nucleotides) under soil metagenome. RNAcentral describes it as "partial contains 5.8S ribosomal RNA, internal transcribed spacer 2, and large subunit ribosomal RNA". The stretch from base 1 to 120 matches the Rfam family "5.8S ribosomal RNA", at positions 35 to 154 of the family's 154-position model. The record is from RNAcentral.
GAUGAAGAACGUAGCGAAAUGCGAUAAGUAGUGUGAAUUGCAGAAUUCAGUGAAUCAUCGAAUCUUUGAACGCACAUUGCGCCCUUUGGUAUUCCAAAGGGCAUGCCUGUUCGAGCGUCAUUUGUACCCUCAAGCUUUGCUUGGUGUUGGGCGUCUUGUCUCUAGCUUUGCUAGAGACUCGCCUUAAAGUAAUUGGCAGCCGGCCUACUGGUUUCGGAGCGCAGCACAAGUCGCACUCUCUAUCAGCAAAGGUCUAGCAUCCACUAAGCCUUUUUUUCAACUUUUGACCUCGGAUCAGGUAGGGAUACCCGCUGAACUUAAGCAUAUCAAUAAGCGGAGGA